Molecule: ribosomal RNA, 253 nt
Filed under: uncultured bacterium
Lineage: Bacteria
Description: partial 16S ribosomal RNA
Rfam family: Bacterial small subunit ribosomal RNA
Source: RNAcentral
UACGAGGGGGGCAAGCGUUGUUCGGAAUUAUUGGGCGUAAAGAGCUCGUAGGCGGUUUGUCGCGUCUGCUGUGAAAUCCCGAGGCUCAACCUCGGGUCUGCAGUGGGUACGGGCAGACUAGAGUGUGGUAGGGGAGAUUGGAAUUCCUGGUGUAGCGGUGGAAUGCGCAGAUAUCAGGAGGAACACCGGUGGCGAAGGCGGGUCCCUGGGCAGUAACUGACGCUGAGGAGCGAAAGCGUGGGGAGCGAACAGG